This 466-nucleotide ribosomal RNA is filed under the name uncultured bacterium. Its description in RNAcentral is "bacterial SSU rRNA". It matches the Rfam family "Bacterial small subunit ribosomal RNA", at positions 329 to 792 of the family's 1533-position model. The record is from RNAcentral.
UGCCAGACUCCUACGGGAGGCAGCAGUGAGGAAUAUUGGUCAAUGGGCGAGAGCCUGAACCAGCCAAGUCGCGUGAAGGAUGAAGGAUCUAUGGUUUGUAAACUUCUUUUAUAUGGGAAUAAAGUGAGGAACGUGUUCCUUUUUGUAUGUGCCAUAUGAAUAAGCAUCGGCUAACUCCGUGCCAGCAGCCGCGGUAAUACGGAGGAUGCGAGCGUUAUCCGGAUUUAUUGGGUUUAAAGGGUGCGUAGGUGGUUAAUUAAGUCAGCGGUGAAAGUUUGUGGCUCAACCAUAAAAUUGCCGUUGAAACUGGUUGACUUGAGUAUAUUUGAGGUAGGCGGAAUGCGUGGUGUAGCGGUGAAAUGCUUAGAUAUCACGAAGAACUCCGAUUGCGAAGGCAGCCUACUAAACUGCCACUGACAUUGAUGCUCGAAAGUGUGGGUAUCAAACAGGAUUAGAUACCCGCGUA